CCGUGCUAGCUGGGGAGUUAGCGGUGCCCUGUAUCUGCAAUCCGCUAUAGCAGAGGUGAUGUCCUGUUUCGGAUAUUCCAGCUGCGGAGCUGCCCGGUAUAAGUGGCGUUGACGUUUUGGUCUUGCGCAAUGAGAACUCAUGAACCGUGUCAGGAGGGGAACCUAGCAGCACUAAGUGAGAACUCUCGUGUGCCGCGAGGUUGCCGGAACUGAGCAAACUGUAUCGGUAACGUCUGCAAUGGUUUAUACAACGCAGGAUGCACGG
This 265-nucleotide signal recognition particle RNA is filed under the name Lachnospiraceae bacterium. Its description in RNAcentral is "signal recognition particle sRNA large type". It matches the Rfam family "Bacterial large signal recognition particle RNA". From Rfam's summary of the family: The signal recognition particle (SRP) is a universally conserved ribonucleoprotein involved in the co-translational targeting of proteins to membranes. The record is from RNAcentral. Lineage: Bacteria; Bacillati; Bacillota; Clostridia; Lachnospirales; Lachnospiraceae.